Long non-coding RNA from Saccostrea cuccullata (small rock oyster), 533 nucleotides. RefSeq lists it as uncharacterized. The transcript has 5 exons. NCBI's taxonomy places the organism in Eukaryota, Metazoa, Mollusca, Bivalvia, Ostreida, Ostreidae. The record is from RefSeq and is a predicted model, not a curated record.
CAAUAUGAUAUACUCUAAAGUCAUUUUCUUUACUUUGAUGUUUUUGGAAUCCACUCGAGAACUUACGUCAUUCGUAGAACCAUUGUGUUGGGAUUUUACUUCCAGUGACCAAAGGAUUUUGCGAUGUUGUGAUGGUUACAGAACUUUAGGAGGGAAAUGUUUCCCAUGCGUAGGUUCAUUUGGGCUCGAAUGUAGCAGGCCAUGUCCUGGAGGAUACUUUGGAGUUAAAUGUCAAGAAGAAUGUCCCUGUGAGAGAUGUAAUGCAACGACAGGGGAAUGUUUUAACGAAACCAUGCCACGAAUUUGCUUGGGAAGUUUUGGAAAAGAUUGUUCUAUACUUGUCCACCCGGGUAUUAUGGUAGAGGGUGUGAAGAAAAAUGCUUCUGUAAAGAUUGUGAUAGUAUGAAUGGUUCGUGUAAGGACCAAUCAGAAACAGAGGGCCUCAAGAUUAUUGCUAUAAACUGUUCAAAACCAUGUCCAUUCAGAAGAAAGGGAGGAGGAUGUGAAGAAAAAUGCAAUUUUGAUGCCUGUGA